ACUGCUAUCGGAGUUGGACUAAGUCAUGCAAGUCGAGGACGUCAGCUAUGAGACGAACUGGCGAACAGCUCAGUAACACGUAGCCAAUCUACCCUCAGGACGGGUAUAAAUGCGGGAAACUGCAUCUAAAUCCCGAUAGACACUUCCUGCUGGAAUGCGUUAGUGUCCAAAACCCGCUUUUCAUGCGAAAUGGGGGCCUGAGGACGAGACUGCGGCCCAUUAGGUAGUAGGUGGGGUAAUGGCCCACCUAGCCAAGGAUGGGUACGGGCGAUGAGAGUCGUAGCCCGGAGAUGGACACCGAGAUAAGGGUCCAGGCCCUACGGGGUGCAGCAGGCGCGAAAACUCCACUAUGCACGAAAGUGCGAUGGGGCAACUCCGAGUGUUGUCGUAAUGGCAACUUUUCCUGAGUGUGAGUAGCUCAGGGAAUAAGGAGAGGGCAAGACUGGUGCCAGCCGCCGCGGUAAAACCAGCUCUUCGAGUGGUAGGGAUGAUUAUUUGGCCUAAAGCAUCCGUAGCCGGACUCGUAAGUCCACGGUUAAAGGUCAGGUCUUAAAUCUGUACAUCGCCGUGGAUACUGCAUGUCUAGGGACCGGGAGAGGUGAAAGGUACUCCAGGGGUAGAGGUGAAAUUCGUUCAUCCUUGGGGGACCACCUAUGGCGAAGGCAUUUCACUGGAACGGGUCCGACGGUGAGGGAUGAAAGCCAGGGGAGCGAGCCGGAUUAGAUACCCGGGUAGUCCUGGCCGUAAACGAUGCGCGCUAAGUGUCAGGNUACAUGCGGAGUACCCUGGUGCCGAAGGNAAGCCGUUAAGCGCGCCGCAAGGGAAGUACGUGCGCAAGCAUGAAACUUAAAGGAAUUGACGGGGGAGCACCACAAGGGGUGGAGCCUGCGGUUAAAUUGGACUCAACUCCGGGAACCUUACCUGUGCCGACAGCUGGAUGAUCCUCAAGCUAAAGACUUUAGGUGACUAGCUGAGCGGAGGUGCAUGGCCGUCGUCAGCUCGUGAUGUGAAUUGUCCUGUUAAGUCAGGCAACGAGCGAGAUCCUUGUCCCUAAUUGCCAGCGGUUGGGCGCAAGCCUAAGCCGGGGACCUUAGGGAGACUGCACGCGAUGAAGUGUGAGGAAGGCGAGGCCCACGGCAGGUCAGUAUGCCCCUAAUGCACAGGGCUACACGCGGGCUACAAUGGCUCGGACAGACCGUUCCUACCCCGAAAGGGUGACGGUAAUCGGUAACCCGAGUCUCAGUUGGGAUCGGGGGCUGCAACUCGCCCUCGUGAACUUGGAAUCCCUAGUAAGCGCACGUCAUCAACGUGCGUUGAAUACGUCCCUGCUCCUUGUACACACCGCCCGUCGC
RNAcentral lists this ribosomal RNA (1352 nucleotides) under uncultured archaeon. RNAcentral describes it as "16S ribosomal RNA". It matches the Rfam family "Archaeal small subunit ribosomal RNA". The record is from RNAcentral.